Molecule: transfer RNA, 74 nt
Filed under: Clostridia bacterium
Lineage: Bacteria; Bacillati; Bacillota; Clostridia
Description: tRNA-Lys
Rfam family: tRNA
About the family: Transfer RNA (tRNA) molecules are approximately 80 nucleotides in length. Their secondary structure includes four short double-helical elements and three loops (D, anti-codon, and T loops).
Source: RNAcentral
GCCGUGAUAGCUCAGUAGGUAGAGCAUCUGGCUUUUAACCAGGGGGUUCGCCGGUUCGAUCCCGGCUCGCGGCA